CCUCACGGCUCUUUCUUGCGAAUGCCUUAAAAAGGUAUUCAGCGUCCAAAAGGAGUUGUCCUAACUGCCAGAACAUAGAAGGAGGUCAUCUGCAUGCGGGAUUAAAGUGGAGUCUCCUGGGAAUUUAAGUCCCUCAAACUGGCAUUCAGGGUGUGUGAGAAGGAAGUAGGAGCCUUAGUAAAUCCCUGGGGCAUAACAGUCCAGGUAUAUUACUGGUUAUCCCAGGAGAAGGCAAACAAGUACUGGAUUCCUUAUAAAGGGGAAUCCUAAACAACGCACAACACAAAUUGAGGGCUGGGAAAUAUUGGGUGUUGGGAGGAAUAGCAGACAGGAUAGGGCCGGGAUUGGGCACCAGGGCAAAUCUGAGUUUCACGAUUUUGAUAAAUCUCAGAUCUGGACUAAUGAACAUCCUUGCCCAUUGGGGGCUUUGAUGAUCCAAAUGGGAGUUGUGCAUGGACUGCAAGUGGGAGCUCGACGUUUCCUGUCUGAUUAAUCUUGGAUUAUCGGGCAGAGCCUCUCAACGCCUUCUGGCCUUCAGUGCUAUUGGGGAAUCCUGUGGAGGGGCAUGGAAAGAUCGACUUCUAUCUUAAGCGGUAGGCUUCCCCCUCCUCUCGAGGUCUGGCCACUCCCAGACCCAUGUCUUUUUUUCUUACAAUUUCAGCAAGGGUCUUGAUCCAUAGGAGACCGUGAUUUUGGAGCUUGCCAUAGAUUAAAAUUUUCAUGUCCUUCUAGCUCUUUUAACUGAAAUGCCAUAAGCUUGUGUUGUGUAUUUUCCAAUUUUCUGGAAAUAACAUCUUCAUAAUGCUGGGCUGAUGUCUGGAGCUCAGACAUGUUUGCAUUUUGCCAGUUAAUAUUAUUUCUCUGUAACGUGUCAUGAAGCUCUGGUCUGAGGCCAUGUACAAAGCUUGUGGCCAGAGCAGAGGCUGUUAGGGAGGUCAGGUCCAGCCCCAGAUGCUCUUUCCUGUUGUUCCUAAUUGAUGGUGAUGGUCAGCCACAGUUCAUCUCUUUGCUGUUUACAAUUUUGAAUACACAGCCGACCAGUUUUGGUGAGAGGGACCCGAGGGAUGGCUCCUGGUAACUUUCCUCUUACUUCCUUCGUUCUCCAAUGAGAAUCAGGGUCAUCUGAGACCCUUGAGGGUCCUCAGGGAUGGUGCUCCAUUUGGCCUUUCCAAGCCAAAGGGAGGUAUCCCCAGGGCCAGCCAAUAGGUGGAUAAGUUGACAUAAAUUGGGGAAUCUGGAGAGUAUGCUCCCAGAACAAUCUUCAAUUGAAGACUGAAUAAAUCUUCAAGAAAUCUUUCCUUUUUCAUUCGGGACUCAGGAAAAUUCUUUUCUUUUUAAAAUUAACUUAUUAAUUAAUUUGGCUGCAUCGGGUCUUAGUUGUGGCACGCAGGAUCAUUCCUUGAAGUACGCAGGUUCUUCAUGGUGGCGCCCAGGCUUCUCUCUAGUUGUGGGCUUCUCUCUACAGGUUCAGUAGUUGCAGUGCGCGGGCUUCAGAACAUGUGGGCUCGGUAGUUGCGCACAUGGGCUCUCUAGUUGUGGCACGCGGGCUCUAGAGCACAUAGGCUUAAUUGUCCCGCGGCAUGUGGGUUCUUAGUUCCCCAACCAGGGAUCGAACCCACGUCCCCUGCAUUGGAAGGUGGAUUCUUUUUUUUUUUUUUUUUUUUGUGGUACGCGGGCCUCUCACUGUUGUGGCCUCUCUCGUUGCAGAGCACAGGCUCCGGAUGCGGAGGCUCAGCGGCCAUGGCUCACGGGCCCAGCCGCUCCGCGGCAUGUGGGAUCCUCCCGGACCGGGGCACGAACCCGUGUCCCCUACUUCGGCAGGCAGACUCUCAACCACUGUGCCACCAGGGAAGCCCGUGGAAGGUGGAUUCUUAACCAUUGGACCACCAGGGAAGUCCAGGAAAUUUCUUGAUGAUGGCAUGUAAUUCUGAGAGAGACCAAGGUUUAAAUGUUCUCUUUUCUGUUUGCCUCCCUUGAGAAUGGGUAACAACCACACCCUGAGCUUCAUCUACAAGAGGUGGGGAUCUGGAGAACCUUACAGUUUCAGGGAGUUGAGGGGCUGGGGUGCCGCUGGUGAAGGACGUUCUGGGAGAGAGGGACAGAUAUCAUGGAGAGCUGGGAGGGGAACUCCGGGGCACUAUGAAGGUGUCUAGGUUUCCUGGGUCAGAAAACAUUUUCUUUUUAAAUAUUUAUUUAUUUGGUUGCGCUGGGUCUUAGUUGCGGCAGGCGGGCUUCUUUAGUUGUGGCUUGCAGGCUCCUUAGUUGUGGCAGGCAGGCGGGCUCCUUAGUUGUGGCAUGUAAACUCUUAGUUGCGGCAUGCAUGUGGGAUCUAGUUCCCCUACCAGGGAUCGAACCUGGGCCCCCUGCAUUGGGAGCGCAGAGUCUUAACCACCACGCCGCCAGGGAAGUCCCAGAAAACAUUUUCUGAAGACAUUAUUUAAGAACUUCAAUAGUUUGAAUGAGGUUUGAAUCAUUUAGCUGUUUUCGGCUUCUUCAUACCGAGUGAAGAAAGUGGACCACUGUGCAUCAGAAAUUUUAGUUCCCUUUUGCCCUAGGGCUUCCCCUUGGGUGGACUAAUUUGAGCAGAUCCCAGGAGCCCCAGAAGGGCUGUGUUAGCUUAAGAGAGUUUGUGGUCAAGUUUUGCCAACAAAAGCAGACAGUACUAGGGCCAUAGAAGGAUGUGGCCAGCAGGAGUCUGAGGAGAGUUCCCGGUGAUUAAGAAGCCCCCAUGUUCUUGACUAAUAGUGCCUUUACACGUACGAACAGAAAAACAUGGGAUUCUAACCCAGCCUGUCCCUUAUAGGGACCAGCCUCGUACCAACAGAAAAGCCUAGGACUCUGACCUAGCUUGUUACAGAGAAACCCAGGACUCUAACCUGGCUUUGGCUUGUCUAGGGCUCUAACCCAGUUUCUAGAGUAUACUCUGAGUCCUAAGAAUCAAGAUCUGUCCUCAUUCCGCGUCAAUGGACAUUUAUCCAGAGCACUGGGUUUUGGAGUCGGCCUCACCACUGGAUCCCCAAACCAGCAAGCAGACCGGAGACAAAACGUGUAGGUGCGGUGUGUGCGACCCUCUGGCCAGCAGGCCUGGCAGGCCAGGUGACCCCACCCUGUACUGAGGCAUCGCUAAGGCCUCUCCCAGCCACCUUAGACGUCGUAACAGAGACUCCCGAGAGCACCGCCAAACUGUGAAGCAGGCUGGGGAAGAUGGGGGCAGAGGAAAGUCAUCUUUGCACCUAGUUGAAAAGAAGUGGUCCAAAACAAAAUCCAGAAUAAAAAUUGCGAUUUUUAUUUGCUGAACCUAAUUUUAAACUAAAACAUCAAAGUGUCUCUUCCUCCAUCACUAGAAAUCAGAUGGCAACUGGUCCUUUGCUCCCCGAGAGGGCUCGAAGAAAAACAAAAACCCCUGUGCAGCCCCUGGCCUUUCCUCUGCAGCCCCUGGGGAUGCCCGCAGGCCACAGCAGGCAGCUGGAGGCAGCAGAAAGACAACUCUGCCUGGUGAAGGCUCCUCUCUGCUUCUUUGGGAAGCUGAUGGGAAGCCAGAGGUCACAGAGCGUUGGAGGCCUGGCUUAAAGCCACCAGUCAGGCCAAGAUGAAACAUCUGCUCAAGUCUCCCCAGGCACCUGGCUGGGGGUGAGUGGGAGGAAGGAAUGGAGAAAACUGAUGCUAAACCACAAAUUAGCACCCUGGGCCUUGGCCCUGAAAUGGCCUCUGCUGGCAUAGGAGGGGGUGAGACUACAAACAAAUAAAUAAAAGCGACACCGUGUCAAGGAGGGAGGAUGACAGGCCCGUGGAAGCACGCUGUGUCAGGCUUGAGCAGAGAUGAGCCAGGGCAUGAUGGCUUACAAAACUCCUCAUCUGGGGCCAAUGGCAUCAAAAUGCAGACAGCCCACGGGGCUGUGGGGAAGGGGCCAUUUGUUGGAGGGACUACAGUGGGGAUUCAGGCUGAGUCUGGGUGGGCUCACCAGGUGACCCCCCAUCUUUUGUUGUGUCUUGUUUUAGGCAUAACCACCACAGACCUAGAACUAGGAAGCCCUGGCUGCCCUCUACUGGUGAUUUCUGGGGAUGAUCGCAACGCAGCAGCACCCAACCUGCAACCCCAAAAGGGCCAAAAGAGAACCAGCUCCCGGGGAGGGCCAGAAGCGGCUGCACAUUUGGCCGGGCCUCCCAGUGGUGGGACUGGCAGCGUCCCCAUCAGUCUGAGUGGGUUCCUCCAUCUCUGCCUGGCUGCAGAGGGCGGGGCCCAGGACAACGAGGGCCUCUGGUGCUCACUUCAGAGGCAUCGAGAAGAAUUUGUUCCCAGACUUGCAGCGGAUCUGCUCGGCGUGCGCACGCAGCAACGUCUCGGAGUCUUCAAACUCACCCACGAUUUCCUUAAACCAGGAGAGGACCAUCACGUUAAGGGGAAUCAGGGACCCAGAGGGCACUGCAAACAAAGCCAGCCUACUGAAAUCCUUCAGAGGUUAGGCCUGCUCGGGGGAGGCUGAGGGCCACGCAGGCGCCAGGCUCUCCAGGUUACCUUGUCUAAUCAGCUCUGCAGUCUUGUGAGGUCAGUCCUAUCAUCCCAACUUUGCAGAUAAGGAAAUGGAUGCUCAGAGCCCUGGACCACAGAAUCCAAUAAAACCAGGCUUGGCACCUGGGUCUACUGGAGCCUGAGACCGGAGCUCCUUGCUGCCUCCAGAAUGAUGAGACCAAGAGCAGAUGUGGCUACUUGAUGAUGGCCCACGGGCUGUGUCCCGUCUGCACAUGUGUUGUCUGGCUCGCAAAAUGUUUUCUUAAAAAAUACAUAUUGGUUGCCAGCAUUUGAAAAUAGAGGGAUUACCCACAAAAAUUAAGAUUUCUGGCUUCUCCUGAAAAACAGAAGUACUUGCAACACGAGGUCCACAUUCCUGCAUGGCAGCUGCCUGCACCAGGGGUGAGUACCGGCUUCUCUGAGGGCACUGACGGGAAAGUGAAAGAUAUCCCCUACUUAUCACAAUACGAGAAAGGCUGUGAGGGUGGACGUUCUUUAGACCUGGUGCGUUUCACUCAUUUCCAGCACCUGCCAGGCCCCUGGGAGCACCCGAGCCUUUGACCUCUGGGUGAGGGUCUAGGACUUCAGGGGAGGCCCGCAGCAUCCUCUCAGAUUAGUGUUCUAGGGCAGGGCUUCUCAAAUUUUAACGUGCACACAAAUCCCUAGCGAUCUUGUUAAAUUCUGAUUUCUUAGAUCUGGAUUGGGGCUUGAGUGAGUGUUGCUAAUAAGUUCCCAGGUGGUCUGGGACUGCACUGUGAGGCGCAGGGUAAGGUGUUGGGGUCUCUGGCUAUGCCAGUUAUUUCCUAUGCCAGGAUUCAGGUUUGCAUGCCUAAUCCUCAGCGCCUGUCAGCUCCCCUCCAUCCCCCAGCUUCUGGGGUUCAGCACCUUCCAUGCUCCUGCCCUGGGAAUUCACCUGUAGUUCCCGCAGGCACUGCCCUUCCAGCUGGAGAUGUGCAUCACCCACGCACCAGGCCAGACUGAUGUGGAAUGAGGGGUCCUGCAGAGGAACGGCGGGGAGACAGGUCGUGGCAGGCUCAGACAUCAAAGCAGCUCUGUGACAGAGUUGUCACCGUAUCCCUGCUGCAUCCCUGACCUGAUUCAUGGGAGACUAGAUCCUCAGUGUUGACCCCAAGCACCCUCCACAGACAGAUAAAAUAGCCCUGGAUUGGUCCCUGCUAUGGACUGAAUUGUGUCCCCCAAAUUCAUAUAUUGAAGCCUUAACCCCCACUGUGAUGGUAUUUGGAGAAGGGGCCUUUGGGAGGUAAUUAGGUUUAGAUGAGGUCCUAAAGGUGGGGCCCUCAUGAUGGGAUUAGUGCCCAUAUAAGAGAUGGCAGAGAGCUGCUUCCUCUCUCUUUCCAUCAUGUGAGGACACAGUGAGAAGAUGGCCAUCUACAAGCCAGGAAGAGAGGCCUCAACAGAAACUGACCGUGAUGGCACCUUGGUUUUGGACGUCUAGCCUCCAGAACUGUGAGAAAGUAAAUUUCUUUUUUAAAAUCAUUUAUUUAGUUAGUUUUGGUUGCAUUGGGUCUUUGUUGCUGUGUGCGGGCUUUCUCUAGUUGCAGCAAGUGGGGGCUACCCUUCGUUGCAGUGUGCGGGCUUCUCAUCGCGGUGGCUUUUCUUGUUGCGGAGCCCAGGCUCUAAGCACGCGGGGUUCAAUGGCUGUGGCGCUCGGGCUCUGUUGCUCUGCGGCAUGUGGGAUCUUCCCGGACCAGGGCUUGAACCCGUGUCCCCUGCAUUGGCAGGUGGGUUCUUAACCACUGUGCCACCAGGGAAGCCCGAGAAAGUAAAUUUCUAUUGUGUAAGUCAUCCAGUCUAUGGUAUCUGGUUAUGGCCGCCUGAGCUAAGAUAGUCCUGUUCUCAGAGGCUCUCCUUUACAUAUCAUAGAGAGUCAUUACCUCUGGAAUGUGGAAGAGAACACACAUCCCAGAUUUAAUGUUUUCUGAUCAAAAAUAUUUCAAGAGAUGACAUACUUUUUAAGAUGAACAAAAACCAAAAUGUCUAAAAUUAUAAAACUAUAAAUUAUCUCCACUCAAAUUCAUACUUAUAUCUCUCAGCAUGAUUUUAAAAGAAUAUAUCAAGCAAAACCACUGGCCCUUUAAAGCCUUGAUAUUCGACUUGGAGUUCAAGUUCCCCUAGAGGGCACGGGGCAAGGCACAGGAAGGUAUGCGAAGCUGCAACUCUACCUGGAGUGUCAACGUGACUAAAAAGUAUUGGGGAAAACUACUUCCUAAAAAAUAUAAAAAUAAACAUGGAUACAUUAUAGAGUAGAAGACAUAAAUCUCAUGCAUAUUGAAGAGAUAACAGAAGAUUUGUAAGAAAUGUUGGACCUCCACUGGGCUGCAUCCGACUACACCUCAGACCCUCAACUCUCCAGGGUUGUGUGUCCUCUGAGGGCUGGCCGAAUGGACACUUCCCAUGGGCAAGUUCUAGAGGGCUCUUCGGUUUGCCUCUAACAAGGGUUUCUUUAAGACUGAUUUUAUUCCUAUUAGAGAUGGGUCAGUGGAGAGAAAAAGACGCUGCUGAUUACCUGGUAGAAAGUGGUGAGGUCAAACUCCUUCAUGACCCUGUCCACCUCUGAAACCAGGUCCAGGAAUUGGGUGUGCCCCGAGGUGACCUCGAGUCCAACAAAGGUCCUGGGGGGAGACAGAGGUGGAGACCACACGGGCAUGAGACGCAGCCUGAGAACAGAAACCAUCCUCGAGGGGGCAGAGGAUGCGACAGAGGAAAGCCGGGAGGGAGGGAGGUCAGUUCGUUUCCCUGCUCUCCGAGCUGGCUCUCCAUCCUUCCCUGACUCUAAUCGCACGCACAUCCCCCCUCCUUCCCCAGGGUCUAAGAACCCUAGCAGGGCCGUCUUCACCUGCUGCUGCCAAGGCUAUGGACCCCCAGGCUGUGGCGCCCAGGCUUGCUGGCCUAGCUCCCAUGUCGGACUCUUUCUCCAGGGCUUCCCUCUCUGGCACUUCCCUCUCCCUCCCGUAAGCACCCUCUAAUCUCUAAAACCCCUCCCUUGAACCCACACCCUCAGCCAGCCCCCAUCCCCUGCCCGGUAAAACGUGCGUUCCGACGAUUUGUCUCCCUCGGCAGUCUCUCACGCCUCUCCGCCCAUCUUCAGUCCACUCGGCCAGGAACCGCUCCCGUCAAAGCUGCCAACCACCUGUGUUCCUGAACUCAGAUACUUGACUCCUCCCUCCCUGAAGCCCUUUUUUCUCUUGGCUUCCAAGAGACCACCCACCACACCGUCCUGGUGUGACGCCACCUCUGGUCUCCUGUCCAGUCUCCUCUGCCGCUCUCUCCUUUCCAGCCUCUAAAUGGUCAGGGGCUGCAGAGCCGGCGUCGCCUGCGCUCCCCCGCAGGCUGAUCUCACCCAGCCCUGCUUUCAGUAUCACACAGCCCGAUGGCUCCCACAUUUCUAUCUCCGGCUGGCACCUCUCCUGUAUACCCACUUGUGUGUGCGACUCUUCCACCCGGGGGUCUCACAGGCGGCAAAAUGCACCAGGUACAAAGCAGAACUUCUCCUCUUCCUCCCACAGGUGUUUCCCAUCACAGACAAUGGGGCCAUUUAUCUAUAUUUACCUAGCUGUUCAAACCCCAAACCCGGGAAUCUGCUUUGAUUCUUCCCCUUACUGUGCACAGACCCAACCCACUGGUAACUCCAGUUGAUUCUACCUCCAGUAUAUCGGGAAUGUGUCUGCUUCUUGGCUCUUCCACUGCCAUCGCCUAAGCCAGGCCACCACUGGCGCCUCACCUGUCUCCUGUCUGCUCUCCCUGCAUCCAACCUUGCUCUUUUAGAUCUUUUCUCCACUCAGGAGCCACAGACACAGACACGAUAGGGCCGGACUGACGUUUACAAACGUAAAUUGGAUCACGUCUCUGCUUAGAUCCCUCCGAUGGCUUCUGUGACACUGAAAAUCCAAACUCCUGACCUUGACCUUGAAGGCCCUGCGGGAGUUAACCCUGCCUGACUCAUCUCCUCACACUCUCCCACGUGCUCCCCAAGUUCUGCUUCACUGGCCUCCUCCAACAUGCCAGGCUCUUUCCUCCUCAGUCACCUCCUUGGCUGUGUCCUCUGCUUGGAGGCUCCUGGGGUAGCUCUUCCCAAGGCUGAUUCCUUCUUGUCCUCAUGUCACCAGCAAAUGCCACCUUGCUAGCGCCCUCCUUGGCCACUUGCUCCAGACUAUCGUUUCACACGAUAGUUAUUAACGAUCUCAUUUCCUUGUUUAUUGUCUGUCUCCCCUGCAGAAUGUGAGAUCCCAUAGAGCAGAGACUAUGCCGACCUUUUCACUGCUGAUCUGUAGUGUACAGCAAGUGCCUGGCACCGGGAGGUGUUUAACAAGUUUGUGCAGCAUAGAAUGAAUGAAUGAAUGAGCGAAUGAGUACUCUUCUUAGAGGUGCUGAGAGCAGAAGGCAGCUCAGAUCCAGUGAGUGGAUCUGACAGGGAGGCUUGCUUUGAAGCCUUGAUAACAACAGUUUCUUAUGUUCAUCUCAUCCUUGAAUGCUUUUAUAAAACUUGUUUCGUUCAUCUGAGCUUCACAACUGCCCAAUGAUGGAUGCUUGGAAAUGGGACAGGAUGUGAUGGAUGAUGUGACAGCUUGGAAAUGGCAGGUCACAGAGGUUGAAGGUUAACAAAAACCAAUUCUGAUCCAGUCUAAGCAACAAGAACAUUUCCGUGUGCCUGGGCUGAGCUUGGGGAUCCUCAUACAAGUCUGUGAGGCAGGUGCUACAAUGACACCCAUUUUACACACACAGAAACUGAAGCUUGGUGAGGCUGAAUUUGAUGGCAGACAGUGGACUUCUUGGCCUCCAUAACCACAUAAGCCAAUACCUAUAACAAAUCUCCUCUUAUGUGUAUCUGUAUAUAUCUUAUUGAUUCUGUUUCUCUGGAGAACCCUGACUAAUACAUCAACCAACACCCUUUCUCCUGGUGAUCUUAUAUAGGAGGACUGCUCUCCCAUUUUGUGCUGGUAGAGUGGUCAACCUGCCCCCACCCAGGGGUGUGUACUUGACAGGCCUGGACAAUCAGAGCAUAGCAUUCCCUCAGUCACAGCCAUAGAAUCAAAGGUGCACUACCCACUCUUGGUCAUCCUAGGCUCAACCAGUCAAACCUGAAGAGGCCACCCGGCCCAGCUUCCUUCAGGAUACAGGCUAGGAAACACUGCACCAGCAGGGCAGCACCAGGGAGGGCCAACCCAGUGGUCCAGGGGCUGUUCCCUAAAUGAGCAAGAGAACAAGCUAUAUCCACCCACCCCAGCCACCCUGGGGAGCAAUACCUCUUGUAAUAGCCCUUGCGCAAAGUUUCCAGAGGCCCAGCAAGGGACCUGCCUAGGUAGGGAACCACCGCAUGCAGGGAGGCCCAAGCCAUGGUUUCCCAGGAGGGGCUUAGUUCACUCACAGUCUUCCCAGCCCAGACAUGACGUGCUCAUAAGUCAUUUUUACCAUAAGUGACGUGGCCCAAGAACACAUCUGGCAUUCUACCUUUAUCCAGGGACACAGCUAGAAGCAGGAUAACUGAAGCAUUCUCAUGUAGAAGGGGAAAGGACUUGCUGCCAUCUGACGUCUCCCGGUCCCAUGUAUGAAGCCAGUGCUACCUCUAAACAUUUUAGUUACACCAGCCUAUAAAUUCCCCGUUUAAGCCACUUUUGGUUGGAUUUCUGGCACCGGCGAUCAAGAGGGUCCUGACUAACAUACAUGACUCAAUAAAAAGAGGGAUGGGGGCUGGAUUAGGGAAAGAGAUGAGUUUUAGUCCUGAGUCGCUGGCUAACUGACUGAAUUGGAGCAGAUCCCUUCCUCCUCUGGCCCCGAGUAGGGGCUACACAAAAUGGGCAGUCCUCCAAUGGGGCAGAGUAGUUCUAUGGAAUUCCUGGGCCUCGGGCCUCCUGAACUGCGAGGGUGGGGCUUUGGCUAAAAGACUUCUGUUUUUAUCUCUCUUACCCAGCUACACAUCAGGGAUCUGUGUAACACCUCAUCAGAAGAAAGGACUCUGCAGAUAAGACCAGGAGUAGAAAACCACCACCUGGAUGGCUUCUUAGGCUCCUACUGGAACCAACAUUCAGAGGAUCCAGAGGAGGAUUUCUGGGCUCUCUCUCUCCUGCUCAGUCAUUCAACAAACACCCAUUUGAUGCCUAUAGUGAGCAAAGCACCUGGACAAAAGCUGUGGGGUAAUUCAGAGAGCAGCCGCAUUCCUGGCCUGCAGGAACUUGGGCUCCAAGCGGGAGAUGGGACAUGGGGAUGACUGAAUAUGGAUAUGAGGAUGAGUGGAACGAGCACUGGGGUGUAGACAAGCACAGGACAGCAGGGUCCCUGGGCCUGAAGAAUUCUGGAGGAGAUACCAAUUGGGACAGCCUCAGUGAAGGAGCAGUGCUUUGAUCUGGCCAAGUCUCGAAGGAGGGGCAUUUCUAGUGGAAAGAAGAGGUAUGAAAUAGUCAAGGGAAAAGAAGCCUAGGCUGGCAGAUAAAACCAGAGUGGGGGUGAGCUCUGAUCGUUCGGCAAGUGCCACGUUGAGGGUAUGCGUGAUCUCAUUCACUCUCACAAGUCCCCUCUGAAGGAGCCACCACCACUCCCCUGACCCGCACACAGGUAAGGCUCGGAGGCUGCCAGAGCUUACGUGGCACGCCCAAGGGCACAUGGGAUGAAGCGCGCAGCAGGCGGCUCUGGGAGAUGUUCGGUGUGCUAACCUUUAGGUUUGCCUGCUUGAAGGGGUAGUGCAUCCCACAGGUCCAUCCCCACAAGAGCUCAGGACAGGAAGAGGAGCCUUGAAGGGGAGGGAAGCACUGGGCACUCACCUCUGGAAGGAGGCCACGCGGUCUUUCAGAGCCUGCACGAAGGGGAGGAUCCAGUGAUGGCGCAGAACCACGCUCUGGGACAGGCUGAGGUGGAAGGCCUCCAUCCUUACCAGCCGGGGGACGUAUGUCUGUGCGUGGGGCAGCAGCACGUCAAGCAGGUCCAGGAACUCCUCCCUGGCUUCAUCUGGAGGGGAGGAGUGGAGAGGGUGGGCCAUUCUCUUAGCCAGGGCGGCAUGGCUGGAUGAAGCCCAGAAGGCGGAGAAAGGCUUUUGAGAGUAGCCUAUGUCUAUGUAUUUCGAAUAAUACUUUAAUAUGCAUUUAUGGCUACAGAAGUAACACAUACAUGCUCUUUGAAAAGAAUUCAAGUGAGAAAAGAAAUAUGUGACAGAGAAAGUAGGGGCCCCUGAUAUCCUAUCACGUACAGCAGUGGUCUCCAAACUACUGUGAUUGCACAGGCCCUUAGUCAAACACGCUUGCCCACAUACCCACAAUAAAUGUGUAUUUAUUUAUAAAUUACAAACAUGCGCUACACUGCAAAAUUGUGUGUGUUAUAAAAUAUACACUUGGAACAACAGAAAUUUUAAAAGAUGAGAUAAAGAGAAACACAUUAAAAGGUUUUAAUACUUUUCUCUCUAAUGGAUCAUCUUGAUCCCGUCCCCAGGCACAUACAGCCCACUUUCAAGAUACUACCCUAGAGAUAAAGGCUGUCAAAUGUGAUGCCUAUUUCCCCAGCCUUUUCUCAGUGCAUGUACUAACGUAUAUAUCUUAUUUGUUAAAAAAGAUGAGGGCAUACCAGUUCUUCCAUUGGCUUUCUCCAUACAACACUACAUGUUGGAUAGCCUUCCUCUCAUUACAUAAAUCAAGCCCAUAAUUACAGCUCCACAGUAACCCAUAAUCAGAAACAGUUCAUUUUUUUAAUCAGACAUUUAGAAUCUCCUGAUUGUUCAUAAAGACAAAGAAUGCAACAAGGACCACCACUGUAUUUUCACAGAUUAUUCAUUUUUUUUAACCAAACAUGUGACUAGAGCUGUAUGGUUAAUAGUCUGCUCACAACUAAUAACUUACUGGAUUUGCUCAAGUGCCCUGUAGAGUAUGCAGUAGAGAGAAUCAUUCUCAUUCUGUGGAUGGGGAAAUGGAGGUUCCAAGAGUUUACCUGAUCUAACACAAUGUAAUAAGAGCCACCACAUUCUCCGUGUAUCAUGCUAAGAACUUGACAUAGAUUAUCUGAUUUAAUCUUCACAAAAGUCCUAGAGGAUAGGUAUUACUACUAUCCCCAUUUUAGAGAUGAGGAAACUGAGGCUCUGAGAAGUCAGCAACUUACUAAAGGGCACACAGAGCAGUGGGUACUGGAGUGAGGUCAGACUCUGAACCCUGGGCAUUUUCUGCCUGCCACUCACUCAUUAGGGCUAGGGUUGGGUGGGACUGGAGGCCAGCACACCGACAGCCCUCUUUGAAAUAAAGUACCAGCUACAGCUGCAGUCUGGGAUGGCCCUGACACUCUGCCCUAGACCCUCCCUUGGUCACAUCCUCAUGAGCAGGGAGAACAGUAUACACAGGGUUAGUAAAAAAUAUUUCAGGCAACGAAUUCAAAACUGAACUGUACAGCACAGGGAACUCUGCUCAAUAUUAUGUAACAACCUAAAUGGGAAAAGAAUUUGAAAAAGAAUAGAUAAAUGUAUAUGUACAACUGAAUCACUUUGCUGUACACCUGAAACUAUCACAACAUUGAUAAUCAACUACAUCCCACUGUAAAAACAAAGGCCAGAAAACCUGAAACCAAGUUAACAGAAAAAUUCCCUAGUUUUUGAAACUUGUUCUCUCUCUGUUGAGUUAAUCUCUUUCCCACCACCAGUGUCAGAGGUUUCUGGCUUCUUCCUCCUUGUUGGGGCCAGCUUCCUCCCAUAAGGGGCACCUGUCAGUGUCAGCCACGUGCCUGUCACGCGUUACUCACAUGGUACAUAGACGUGGGUGGCCCAGUUGCCCCGCUCGUGGGGAAAGGUGCGCAACCGGCCCCCAUGUUUUGUGCUAUCAUCCUCAGGCCUCUCCUCGGUGCCUGGGAACAUGUCCAGCACACUGUCGGGUACUGGCAACUUCUGGCUGGGAAGGGGG
Orcinus orca (killer whale) is the source of this 13395-nucleotide long non-coding RNA. RefSeq lists it as uncharacterized. The record is from RefSeq and is a predicted model, not a curated record. The transcript is spliced from 4 exons. Lineage: Eukaryota; Metazoa; Chordata; Mammalia; Artiodactyla; Delphinidae.